UGGUUCUGUCCUCACUUUGUGGGGUUUUCUAAACUAAACCUUAUGAAGUUUAGUUCAAACGAUGGCCCUAGCAUUGAUAUGCCAAAUUUCCAAAAACAUUUGUUAUUAAAUCAUUUGCCCGCAUUUACCCUUGUGUUUUCUCUAGGAGGACCAGGCGCUCCAGGUGGACCGGGUGCUCCAGGAGGCCCAGGCGCUCCAGGUGGACCAGGCGCUCCAGGAGGCCCAGGCGCUCCAGGAGGCCCAGGCGCUCCAGGAGGCCCAGGCGCUCCAGGAGGCCCAGGCGCUCCAGGAGGCCCAGGCGCUCCAGGUGGACCAGGUGCCCCAGGAGGCCCAGGUGCUCCAGGAGGCCCAGGCGCUCCGGGUGGACCAGGCGCUCCAGGAGGCCCAGGCGCUCCGGGUGGACCAGGUGGACCAGGCGCUCCGGGAGGCCCAGGCGCUCCAGGUGGACCAGGCGCUCCAGGAGGCCCAGGCUCUCC
Cydia pomonella (codling moth) is the source of this 476-nucleotide long non-coding RNA. RefSeq lists it as uncharacterized. The transcript has 3 exons. Lineage: Eukaryota; Metazoa; Arthropoda; Insecta; Lepidoptera; Tortricidae. The record is from RefSeq and is a predicted model, not a curated record.